GUUCUGGUAACCUCUAUUUCUCUUUUUUUUCUGUAUUCUCUCUUCGAGUUCUUCAUUCACUUGCCCUCACUGCACAUUCUUCUUGUCUCACGAUCUGAUCUCAUGGCUCCUAACACUGUUACGGACUUUGUUUUCUUGUCAGAUUCAAUUUGAGACAAUAAUCACUUCCAUCAUUUCAAAGAUCGAACGCAGACAUGGUUGUACUUGCUGCAUCCAUUGUGGGCAAAUCUGGUAAAGUUCUGGUUUCUAGGAAGUUUGUUGAUAAUGUUGCGCAGAUAUGUGUACUAG
This is a non-coding RNA of Arachis ipaensis, 288 nucleotides long. The record is from RefSeq and is a predicted model, not a curated record. NCBI's taxonomy places the organism in Eukaryota, Viridiplantae, Streptophyta, Magnoliopsida, Fabales, Fabaceae.